GUGGAAGCAAGCCAGGCCCAUUAGGGCAGGGAGUGCUGCUGUGGCCUUCUGCAGGAAAAAAUGUCUCUCUGUACCUUCUCACUGUCUUCCUGGGCCAAUUCAGAUAUCCACUGGGUCACUGCACUAGUGGGUGGGGUCACCGUGCCUGUUUAAAAACCCCAGUGCACAUGGGCGUGGCCCCUUUCCUGCUCUGCCAGGGCAGUGCUGAGCCUGGGGCUGGCUCCCCAGCCCUCAUCCACUUUGCAGAGUGCAGGGAGGAAAAGCCCAGGGGCUGCUCUCCCUUACAGCAGGUGCUUCUCUGUUGAUGUUCCUCCCCCACCUGUUUCCAAGUAGCCCGAGACAUGUCUUUCUCGCACCUUCUUCUUCCCCUGCUGCAAGCCCACUCCCGUUCAGACAGCGUGAACCUGAGUCUUUUUCCUGGCAGGCCACCUGGGCCACGAAGGCCCACACAUCGAGGCACCUGCUGCUUCUUAGUGCUGGCCUUUGCUCACCUAAGACUCAGGUGUGGCCAUAGGAGAAAGAGGUUCUUUGGCGCAAGGCUAUGGGGCCUGACAAGCUGAGGAGAAAGGUGGCCACAGCAUUGCUUCCUAGGUUGGCGCAGGGGGUCAAAGCCCCAGCUGGCAACAAGGAGGAAAGAGCCAGGCUUAAUCUUGGUCUCUCCUGUCUCUGUGGAAGCCUGAAUUCCCCUCGGUUUAUGAGGUAAAGAAUAGCUGGUCUCCUUCACAUGCUUUCCCGACCCUAUCCUGGAUAAACUGAGGCAGGAAGGCAUCUGCUUUCUACUCCAGUGAUGUUGCGGCCGGGAUGCCUUCUGGGGAACUCGAAUGCUGCAGGCAGAGGGGCUAGUUUCUGAAUUGCUUGUGACAUGUUUGGCUACCAGUGACCAAAGUCCUCUAUGGCUGGCAUUCUUUAGUUUAAAGAAUCGAGGGUGUCUCUUAAACCAGGGAUGAGGGCCUUGGAAACCUUCCAAAAAUUUUUAUACAACGCGGGUACAUACAACUUUUUACAAAUAUGAAAUCAUACUGUACAUCCUUUCUUUUGUGACCUAUUUUCAUUCAAUAACAUUUUACAGUUUUCAUGUUAAUAAACCUAGCUGUACAUUACUGGUA
Long non-coding RNA from Homo sapiens (human), 1106 nucleotides. RefSeq lists it as uncharacterized. The transcript has 2 exons. Lineage: Eukaryota; Metazoa; Chordata; Mammalia; Primates; Hominidae. The record is from RefSeq and is a predicted model, not a curated record.